This 420-nucleotide ribosomal RNA is filed under the name uncultured Helicobacteraceae bacterium. Its description in RNAcentral is "bacterial SSU rRNA". It matches the Rfam family "Bacterial small subunit ribosomal RNA", at positions 65 to 504 of the family's 1533-position model. Lineage: Bacteria; Pseudomonadati; Campylobacterota; Epsilonproteobacteria; Campylobacterales; Helicobacteraceae. The record is from RNAcentral.
AACAGGUAGAAGCUUGCUUCUAUGCUGACGAGUGGCGGACGGGUGAGUAAUGUAUAGUUAAUCUGCCCUUUAGAGGGGGAUAACAGUUGGAAACGACUGCUAAUACCCCAUACUCCUUUCUACUUAAUGUAGAUUGGGAAAUGUUUUUUCGCUAAAGGAUGAGACUAUAUGGUAUCAGCUAGUUGGUGAGGUAAGAGCUCACCAAGGCAAUGACACCUAGCUGGUCUGAGAGGAUGAUCAGCCACACUGGAACUGAGACACGGUCCAGACUCCUACGGGAGGCAGCAGUGGGGAAUAUUGCACAAUGGAGGAAACUCUGAUGCAGCAACGCCGCGUGGAGGAUGACACAUUUCGGUGCGUAAACUCCUUUUAUAUGGGAAGAUAAUGACGGUACCAUAUGAAUAAGCACCGGCUAACUCC